AGAGAGCUUUGCUCAUAUCUACCCCUCUCCUUUGGAAAUGAAGAUCUCCUUUGUAGAUCAAGACCUCCUUUGGAUAAGAAUCCCUAGUGGAUCAUCAAGACCUCCUCUUGUGGAGAAGAAUCCCCAUCAUAGGAUUGUCUAGCCUGGUGAGUGUAUUUUGUACGCUCAUCACACCGUUGUUUAAGCUAGUUUGUUUCAUAAAAUAUAAGAUAUUCCCUUCGAUAUUUCCACUAAUUACUAAUGAAUGCAAGAGAUUGCGCAAUUCCACGGGAAAAGGGCUAUAUGGUGAAAAUCAAUCCUAUACAUGGAAAGAAGCAAAAUGGAGAUAUAAGAAAUCCAGUAGGAGGCACACUAGCACCAACAGAACGCAGGAUGGCGUCUAGUAUGAGCGUGUGCGCUCGUACCAGCUAUCCACGACACUAUGGCAUCCACCCCAAUAACUUUUAUAAAGGGACCCGUACCUGACUCACGAAGAGCAGACACCAGAACCUCCAUCUCUGCAUCAAAAGCCAUUCACAAACCCUAACUGCCACCAUUUCCCGUCUCAUAUCCCUAGCCACCACCAUCUUCACCAGCACAACAAUCCAUCUCCAAGUUAGCCAUACUUGUAAUCGUGUAUCACAUCUGGCAGCCAUUUUAAGACAUAUUAUCAAUAAAGCUUUCACCUUGAUGUCUUCUUCGACGACGUACAAUCCGAUCGCCAUCUGUGAGUAAUUCGGUAAGGCAAUGGGUUAAGGCAUAGCCUUGCAACCCGAUGUGUUUGUAUGAGGGGUCGAUGGAAUGACUUUGAAUAAACGUCAUGCAUGUGUGAAAUAAAAUUGCAUCAUAGUUGUCUCUUGUCUCUUAUUCUUCGACAGUGCAGGUACCCAAGAUCAUGGAGUUCGAGCCACGAGGAGGUUAGGAGCAGGGAGGACGUGAAGCACUAUUCUGAACACCGGUGACAGAAAGGUUUAAUAUGGUAGCAUGAAGCCAAUCCUUGGGGAUACAUGUGGUGUAGUCAUUAAAUUCCCAAUGCUUUUGUCUGAUUUAUCUUAAUUACCGAGGUAACCCCGCGACGGUGUCUUGGACUAGGGGUGCACGCCCCGUCGGCCUACUGUUCGUAGGCCGGGCCGAUGACCCACUAGUAAUUGAAGAAUGGGCCCUGGUCCUUGGCUUAAUCAAGAUGGAGACCUCCGAAGACUUCACGUACACUUCAAGGCGAGUUUGAAUGAUCGACAUGUUUAUCCCCAGAUUGUAACCGACCAUGUGUAACCCUAGAUACCCCCGGUGCCUAUAUAAGCCGCGGGGUUUAGUCCAUAGAGGCAAGUCUUUCGAGAUUAAGAAGGUUAGAGCAUGUUCAUACGAUCUCGAGGUAGAUCAUACUAUACUUUGUACCCCAUCCCACAAUUAAUAUAAUAAGAGCAUGAUGUAGGGUUUUACCUCCUCAAAAGGGCCCGAAC
RNAcentral lists this long non-coding RNA (1439 nucleotides) under Triticum aestivum (bread wheat). RNAcentral describes it as "long non-coding RNA (TAES_LNC013159)". The record is from RNAcentral. Lineage: Eukaryota; Viridiplantae; Streptophyta; Magnoliopsida; Poales; Poaceae.